GUGGAAGAGAGGAAAUAGGGGAAAGAAAAGGAGAAAGGGAGAGCAGGGGUUGGGCUAAUUGGGGUAUGUGAUUACACAGACUGCUGUUGGGAGGAUUUAGCCAACAACAGACUCUGCAGCAGGGAACACACUGCUUUGCCAUCAGAAGAGAUGGAGUGAAAGGAGCAGGCGAUAACACUGAUAUUUCACUAAUGGUGCCACACACACACAUACCCACACACCACACACACCUUCACUUCAGUCACGCUACCAGACAAGACAGUGCUGUAAUAGAGGAAUCGGGGCAGGAUGUUAGCUGUUCCUUGCUGUUCAGGUUUGGAAAGGCUAACGCUCUUACUGAAGAUGGAAGGAUCUAAACAUGGGUUCAAUGCUUAUUUGUUCAUGACCUCUGUGUUUGGCCAUCUCAACAGCAGCCAGCCCCAGCCCAGACUAACAGAACAGCAUGAGGUAGAACCAGCCCCAGCCCAGACUAACAGAACAGCAUGAGGUAGAACCAGCCCCAGCCCAGACUAACAGAACAGCAUGAGUUAGAACCAGCCCCAGCCCAGACUAACAGAACAGCAUGAGGUAGAACCAGCCCCAGCCCAGACUAACAGAACAGCAUGAGUUAGAACCAAACCCCAGCCCAGACUAACAGAACAGCAUGAGGUAGAACCAGCCCCAGCCCAGACUAACAGAACAGCAUGAGUUAGAACCAGCCCCAGCCCAGACUAACAGAACAGCAUGAGGUAGAACCAGCCCCAGCGCAGACUAACAGAACAGCAUGAGGUAGAACCAGCCCCAGCCCAGACUAACAGAA
This is a long non-coding RNA of Oncorhynchus tshawytscha (Chinook salmon), 799 nucleotides long. NCBI's taxonomy places the organism in Eukaryota, Metazoa, Chordata, Actinopteri, Salmoniformes, Salmonidae. The record is from Ensembl.